RNAcentral lists this ribosomal RNA (474 nucleotides) under uncultured organism. RNAcentral describes it as "partial 16S ribosomal RNA". It matches the Rfam family "Bacterial small subunit ribosomal RNA", at positions 335 to 800 of the family's 1533-position model. The record is from RNAcentral.
ACUCCUGCGGGAGGCAGCAGUGGGGAAUUUUGGACAAUGGGCGAAAGCCUGAUCCAGCAAUGCCGCGUGAGUGAAGAAGGCCUUCGGGUUGUAAAGCUCUUUUGUCAGGGAAGAAACGGUGAGAGCUAAUAUCUCUUGCUAAUGACGGUACCUGAAGAAUAAGCACCGGCUAACUACGUGCCAGCAGCCGCGGUAAUACGUAGGGUGCAAGCGUUAAUCGGAAUUACUGGGCGUAAAGCGUGCGCAGGCGGUUUUGUAAGUCUGAUGUGAAAUCCCCGGGCUCAACCUGGGAAUUGCAUUGGAGACUGCAAGGCUAGAAUCUGGCAGAGGGGGGUAGAAUUCCACGUGUAGCAGUGAAAUGCGUAGAUAUGUGGAGGAACACCGAUGGCGAAGGCAGCCCCCUGGGUCAAGAUUGACGCUCAUGCACGAAAGCGUGGGGAGCAAACAGGAUUAGAAACCCUUGUAGUCCCAUGA